RNAcentral lists this ribosomal RNA (836 nucleotides) under Streptomyces sp. IM-7197. RNAcentral describes it as "bacterial SSU rRNA". It matches the Rfam family "Bacterial small subunit ribosomal RNA", at positions 38 to 889 of the family's 1533-position model. Lineage: Bacteria; Bacillati; Actinomycetota; Actinomycetes; Kitasatosporales; Streptomycetaceae. The record is from RNAcentral.
GGCGGCGUGCUUAACACAUGCAAGUCGAACGAUGAACCACUUCGGUGGGGAUUAGUGGCGAACGGGUGAGUAACACGUGGGCAAUCUGCCCUUCACUCUGGGACAAGCCCUGGAAACGGGGUCUAAUACCGGAUAACACUGCGGAUCGCAUGGUCUGCGGUUAAAAGCUCCGGCGGUGAAGGAUGAGCCCGCGGCCUAUCAGCUUGUUGGUGAGGUAAUGGCUCACCAAGGCGACGACGGGUAGCCGGCCUGAGAGGGCGACCGGCCACACUGGGACUGAGACACGGCCCAGACUCCUACGGGAGGCAGCAGUGGGGAAUAUUGCACAAUGGGCGAAAGCCUGAUGCAGCGACGCCGCGUGAGGGAUGACGGCCUUCGGGUUGUAAACCUCUUUCAGCAGGGAAGAAGCGAAAGUGACGGUACCUGCAGAAGAAGCGCCGGCUAACUACGUGCCAGCAGCCGCGGUAAUACGUAGGGCGCAAGCGUUGUCCGGAAUUAUUGGGCGUAAAGAGCUCGUAGGCGGCUUGUCACGUCGAUUGUGAAAGCCCGAGGCUUAACCUCGGGUCUGCAGUCGAUACGGGCUAGCUAGAGUUCGGUAGGGGAGAUCGGAAUUCCUGGUGUAGCGGUGAAAUGCGCAGAUAUCAGGAGGAACACCGGUGGCGAAGGCGGAUCUCUGGGCCGAUACUGACGCUGAGGAGCGAAAGCGUGGGGAGCGAACAGGAUUAGAUACCCUGGUAGUCCACGCCGUAAACGGUGGGAACUAGGUGUUGGCGACAUUCCACGUCGUCGGUGCCGCAGCUAACGCAUUAAGUUCCCCGCCUGGGGAGUACGGCCGC